UUUACAGGAUCGAUCCAGUUAUUCUGACCAAAGCAGAAGCCACUGAGAUCCUUUCAAAAGAAGGCCAGAGACCUGGAACCUAUCUCCUUUACGAAGACAUAGAAAAAGAAAGAAUAUGUCUCUCUUUCAGAACCACAGCUGGGGAGGUAGUGCACUAUUCCAUAGUGCAAUUAAACGAUUUGUUCUACUUCAACGACUUUCCCUUUCCUUAUCUGGAAUCCAUUGUUCUUUACUACAAGAAGUACAAGUUCAAAGACACAAGAUUGACUCAUCAGGCAGUACUUAGUCCGUACAUCAAGUCUCAAAAAUCUAAACGAAUCUCUGGCUAUCUCAGAUUGGAUACCAUUCAAGAAUCGGAGAGAGAUUCUCAUGCUUGAUGUUGACAAAAUGGCGCUUCUGAAGAGAAACGUCAUCGUUUAUUUUAUGCCUGCCAUUUGGCUAGUUUUAGCUAGCAUACGUUGUAAAUUGCGCGUGUAAAGAUAUUUAAAUUAACACUAUGUUUGUACUGUGUAAAAAAAAACCUGUAUUGUGAUUGUUGUGCUUAAACCAUAUUCGUCAUGUAAAAUGUUUCUAUGUACCCUUAAACUUCCACUUACUAUGAUUUUAAACACUCAUCAUGACGAUAUUAUGUACAUAUUCUUAAAAUAAAAAAGUUCAUGUCUACUGC
This is a long non-coding RNA of Stegodyphus dumicola, 667 nucleotides long. NCBI's taxonomy places the organism in Eukaryota, Metazoa, Arthropoda, Arachnida, Araneae, Eresidae. The record is from RefSeq and is a predicted model, not a curated record.